This 362-nucleotide ribosomal RNA is filed under the name uncultured bacterium. RNAcentral describes it as "bacterial SSU rRNA". It matches the Rfam family "Bacterial small subunit ribosomal RNA", at positions 29 to 419 of the family's 1533-position model. The record is from RNAcentral.
AACGAACGCUGGCGGCAGGCCUAACACAUGCAAGUCGAACGCCGUAGCAAUACGGAGUGGCAGACGGGUGAGUAACACGUGGGAACGUACCCUUCGGUUCGGAAUAACUCAGGGAAACUUGAGCUAAUACCGGAUACGUCCGAGAGGAGAAAGAUUUAUUGCCGAGGGAUCGGCCCGCGUCUGAUUAGCUUGUUGGUGAGGUAACGGCUCACCAAGGCGACGAUCAGUAGCUGGUCGAGAGGAUGAUCAGCCACACUGGGACUGAGACACGGCCCAGACUCCUACGGGAGGCAGCAGUGGGGAAUAUUGGACAAUGGGCGAAAGCCUGAUCCAGCAAUGCCGCGUGUGUGAAGAAGGUCUUC